GACGAAGGUGGCGAGCGUUGUUCGGAAUCACUGGGCAUAAAGCGCCCGUAGGCGGCGACGUAAGUUGGGUGUGAAAUCCCUCGGCCCAACCGAGGAACUGCGCCCAGUACUGCGUUGCUUGAGGAUCCAAGGGGUGCAUGGAAUUCCCGGUGGAGCGGUGAAAUGCGUUGAUAUCGGGAGGAACUCCGGCGGCGAAAGCGGUGCACUGGUGGAUUACUGACGCUGAGGUGCGAAAGCCAGGGGAGCAAACGGG
RNAcentral lists this ribosomal RNA (253 nucleotides) under uncultured bacterium. Its description in RNAcentral is "partial 16S ribosomal RNA". It matches the Rfam family "Bacterial small subunit ribosomal RNA", at positions 524 to 776 of the family's 1533-position model. The record is from RNAcentral.